RNAcentral lists this ribosomal RNA (253 nucleotides) under uncultured bacterium. Its description in RNAcentral is "partial 16S ribosomal RNA". It matches the Rfam family "Bacterial small subunit ribosomal RNA", at positions 524 to 776 of the family's 1533-position model. The record is from RNAcentral.
UACGUAGGGUGCAAGCGUUGUCCGGAAUUAUUGGGCGUAAAGAGCUCGUAGGCGGUCUGUCGCGUCUGCUGUGAAAACUCAGGGCUUAACCCUGAGCUUGCAGUGGGUACGGGCAGACUAGAGUGCGGUAGGGGAGACUGGAAUUCCUGGUGUAGCGGUGAAAUGCGCAGAUAUCAGGAGGAACACCGGUGGCGAAGGCGGGUCUCUGGGCCGUAACUGACGCUGAGGAGCGAAAGCUAGGGGAGCAAACAGG